GCUGGGCACUGUGGUGCAUGCCUGUAAUCCCAGGGGCUCAGGAGGCUGAGGCAGGAGGAUUGCAAGUUCAAAGCCAGUCUGAGCAAAAGUGAGGUGCUAAGCAAUUCAGUGAUACCCUGUCUCUC
Molecule: small RNA, 125 nt
Filed under: Marmota monax (woodchuck)
Lineage: Eukaryota; Metazoa; Chordata; Mammalia; Rodentia; Sciuridae
Source: RNAcentral